GCCUGGCUGGCUCACGCGGAAGAGCAAGGGACUCUUGAUCUCUGGGUUGUGAGUUCGAGUCCCACGUUGGGUG
RNAcentral lists this transfer RNA (73 nucleotides) under Felis catus (domestic cat). It matches the Rfam family "tRNA". From Rfam's summary of the family: Transfer RNA (tRNA) molecules are approximately 80 nucleotides in length. Their secondary structure includes four short double-helical elements and three loops (D, anti-codon, and T loops). The record is from Rfam by way of RNAcentral. Lineage: Eukaryota; Metazoa; Chordata; Mammalia; Carnivora; Felidae.